AAAAACCCAUCGCUAUUGCUAUUGAUUAAACAUUGAUAUCGCCCUGAAAGCGGCUAAUAUUAUCACGAAUCUCUUUUGUUCUAGAAAAUCUCACGAUUGACAUGAAAACGAUUCUCAACGCACCGGCUCGAAUCAGUUGUUUUUUUUUUUUUUUUCUUUCUUUCUUUGUAAUCCCACAACAAUCUGGAUAAGACUUCUUCGUUUCUUCGUUUCAUUUUUCAGUUCUUAACAUUGGAGUAAAUUUUGAUCGAUUAAAAUCACACCGGAACGCACGCAAAUAUGAUCAACCGUUUAAAUAUAUCUGGAAAAAUGACUACUUAAAACGUGGAAAUUGAAGAACGUUCUUAAAUUCACACGACCACGGAAAAGUUGGUAACAAGGUGAUUAAAAGUAAACGUACAGGUAGC
This 407-nucleotide unclassified non-coding RNA is filed under the name Athalia rosae (coleseed sawfly). RNAcentral's name for it is "misc RNA ENSAEAG00005010211.1". The record is from RNAcentral. Lineage: Eukaryota; Metazoa; Arthropoda; Insecta; Hymenoptera; Athaliidae.